RNAcentral lists this ribosomal RNA (253 nucleotides) under uncultured bacterium. RNAcentral's name for it is "partial 16S ribosomal RNA". It matches the Rfam family "Bacterial small subunit ribosomal RNA", at positions 524 to 776 of the family's 1533-position model. The record is from RNAcentral.
AACGUAGGACACAAGCGUUAUCCGGAGUUACUGGGCGUAAAGGGCGUGCAGGCGGUUUGUUAAGUCUAGGGUGAAAGCUCCCGGCUCAACUGGGAGAGGUCCUUGGAUACUGGCCGACUUGAGGGAGGCAGAGGAGAGUGGAAUUCCCGGUGUAGUGGUGAUAUGCGUAGAUAUCGGGAGGAACACCAGUGGCGAAGGCGGCUCUCUGGGCCUUACCUGACGCUGAGACGCGAAAGCGUGGGGAGCGAACCGG